This 9746-nucleotide long non-coding RNA is filed under the name Homo sapiens (human). RNAcentral's name for it is "HSALNT0120188". The record is from RNAcentral. Lineage: Eukaryota; Metazoa; Chordata; Mammalia; Primates; Hominidae.
ACAGUAUUGACAUCGGGAGAAAAGUCUGGUCACCCUUAUAGGAAAGAAGAUUGUAUUUUACAUGAGGCAAAAACAAGAAAAAUAAUUGUCAAAUCUCAUCUCAAUAGCAAUAAGUAACAUUAAAGCCCUUCUAGCAAUAUUAAAAUGGGAGAGGUCACUGCAUUAAUGUCUCAGCAAGCCUCACCAGGAAAGCGUAAUGAACAUCAAGGGCACUGAAACGACAGGAGAUGAUCUAAUGCAGGAAGCUCCCCAAAUACUAUAUUUAUACAAAUGAUAAAUAGGUUUCAAGAAAGGAGAAACCAACUAAUGUUGAUGACUAGGGAAAUAAAUAAUAUUAGAACUUUACACUGCAGUAGCAUCUUUCAUCUGGGAUCCUAAAAAGCUUUAAGAGUAAUUAAAUUUGGGUGCUGCAUCAAAGUAGACCCAUUUUUAAAACAAAAAUAUGGAUUUUAUGCCCUUCAGCAGAUGUAGCACUGAAUAGUCUCACAGAUAAUGAAACAAAACCUGGAGAUUAUUUUCUCUUGAAGAAUGUUUUAUCAUUGUUUCCAAGGUUCUAAAUUUGUAACUAGCUGAGUCUUACGGAAAUGCAGGGUGGAGCCACAUUUCUUUCUAUAUAUUGGAAAAGAGGCAGCAGUUUCAGCCCAGGUGGAGUGUGUGGGGAUUGGGGGUUAGAAGCAGUCCCCAUGGAAAACCCACCUAGGGAACAGGAAGCAAACAUUGGGUCGCCCUUGACAUAUGAAAAAAUGACAUGACAUUUGGAAAGCAUCCAUCUGUGUCAAACUCUGUUCUGGUUUUCAAGUAUCAUUGUUGGAGUGCCUCUGAGUCUCAAAAGCCUUCUGUGUUUCACAUUGUUUCCGUGUCAGAGACAAGUCCAUGUUUAGUUACUUGGGAGCAAGCCUCCAUUCCUGGUUGGUGGUCUCAGUAUGCUACCAGAUCUUGCCAUCUUACCAUUUGAAGCUCCUGUGACCAUGUUGAACCCACUCGCAACCUGGGUGUGUCUGUGGGAAGCCUGCAUCUCACAGGGACAUUAACACCCCUGCUGGGAGACUUAGCGAUUCAGACAGGAAGUUUCAUCCUCAAAAUCAAGUCUCAUAUGCACCCUUCCAUGUUCCACUGUGCCUUCAAGAUGUGUGAAUCAGCUUGCUGCUUCGGCAGCAGAACGUGGAGACAGCUUUCCACCCCCGGUUUUCCACGGGGCAAUACACGGACCAUCGUGUGAGCUGGCGGUGCAGAAGCAUAAAGCUCCUUGGCCAUCAUUCCGUUCACAAUCAUUCCGUUCACAACAGGGCCAUGCUGCAUCUGGGGAAAGGCCGGUGAUCAUGUGAGCAUGAGUGGUCAUGGUCUAUAAGGAGGAUACAAAAGAAUCUCGGAAAUAGACACCAUUUAUUCACCAGUUCCUACUAGAAGAAAUAAGUUUUGAGCCCUUCAACUAAAAUAAUGUGAAGAAAUAUUCCUGAAGUUAGAUAGGCAGAGGAUUAGGAAUGUGGGAAGAUGCUUGACUGAAGGUUCAACCGAUCUCCUGUGUUUAAUUUAUUAAUAUGGAGUUCUAGCUGGGCAUCUGAUACUCAAAGACAAGGGAACAAAGCUUCACAGCCUGUUACAGCUUUGGACUUGGCCCAGGCUCAUGCCCAUCUCCAAAGCGGUCAAGUCCUAUUUGUCCUAUAAGAAGCACCUGCUGGCCAGGAGCAGUGGCUCACACUUGUAAUCCCAGCACUUUGAGGGGCCAAGGCAGACAGAUCACGAGGUCAGGAGUUCGAGACCAGCCUGGCCAACACAGUGAAACCCUGUCUCUACUAAAAAUAUGAAAAUUAGCUGGGCGUGGUGGCGGGAGCCUGUAAUCCCAGCUACUUGGGAGGCUGAGGCAGGAGAAUCGCUUGAACCCGAGAGGCAGAGGUUGCAGUAAGCUGAGAUCGUACCGCUGCACUCCAGCCUGGGUGACAGAGCGAGACUCCACCUCAAAAAAAAAAGAUGCACCCGCCGUUGACAACCUCCCCAGGCUUCUCAUCUAUGAGUCAUCCACCCUCCCCAAACUCCUCACCAUUUAUACAUGCCUCCCUCGAGACCCUCAUCCCUGUGUCCAUUCAAUUUUAGCAGUUUAUGUACACGUCAUAUCCUCUUUUCAAUCAGAAGUAACUCGAGGGCCCUCGCAUUUUGGCUCGUAUAUACUAAGUACUCAGUAAACACCUUGGAAAAUGAGUGAAUGGCUGUUUAAUACCUAUUAAAAUACAGAGACCAAACGUACACUCGCCCCUCCGGAUCUCACUUGGGGAGCAGUGCCUUUGUGCUCAGGAGGGCUGCCAUGUUCCUAAAUACUUCGGAAUACACAGAAUUCUGGUAUGCUUUCUAGAGACCAGAUAUACCCAAGCUUCAGCCCAAUUUCAGUUUUUAAAAACAGGAUCAAGAGGGCCAGAUGUGGUGGCGCAUGCCUGUGAUCCCAGCAUUUUGAGAGGCCUUGGAGGGCAGAUCACCUGAGGUCAGGAGUUCGAAACCAGCCUGUCCAAAAUGGUGAAACCCCAUCUCUACUAAAAAUACAAAAAUUAGCUGGGUGUGGUGGUGCACACCUGUAAUCACAGCUACUCAAGAGGCUGAGGCACAAGAGUGGCUUCAACCUGGGAGGCAGAGGUUGCAUUGAGCUGAGAUUUUACCACUGAACUCCAGCCUGGGUGACAGAGUGAGACUCUGUUUCAAAAAAAAAAAAAAAAACAAAACAAAACAAAAAACAGGAUCAAGAUUUACGCCUUCCUGAAGAAGUUGAGUCUGGGGUCACAGUCAUUAGUAUCAUGCUUCAUAAUGACCUUAAGCCUCUUUCAAGUGUGUGAUAUUCUAUUAGGUUGAUGCAAAAGUAAUUGCGGUUUUUGCCAUUCUUUUUUUUUUAAAAAAAAGGCAAAAACCGCAAUUACUUUUGCAUCAACCUAAUAUAUGCACAGUUUCAUAAGCUCUCUGAGGGCAGGACUUCUGUCUAUUCUGUUGAUGUUAUUGUUACCCACACACACUACCUUGUAAGGAAGUCUGCCCACACUGGGCAAACAUUAACUAUUGACUAAGCGUAUCAUUUUAUUUUAACACAAUUAGGAAGCCCUGCAUUCCAAGGAACCCCUUUAGCCAAAAGCUGCUGAGUUAGGUCACCAGACUCAGCACACACCUUUUCUAAUCUGCUUCUUCAGUCCCUAUGAGCCAUACAAUGCAUUCUCUCCUGCCUAGAGUUGGCAAUUUCAAUUAUUUCUUUUCCAGAAAGAAAUAAAAGUGUCUGGACUGAAAUAGAUUUCCCUGUUUGGAAACUAAUGCAGUGAGGGGUCUAUUUGUUACAAACACUGAUAGGCAGCCUUCUCCACAGAGGUGAGCCGUCCUUUCCCAUGGGCUCCUCUUUGCUCCUUCCUCUACAGGAAUCCAUCUACUCUGGUUCAUGUACAGAAGGUUACUGUGGUUUUUCCAGGAAACUGCUGCCUGAUGAGGGAGGCAAAUUUUCUGUGUACAAAUUUGAGGACCAUUUGUGCAGAAACAGACAUAAGUAACAGAAUAUAAGCCAUAUUAAUGUUUUUAUGACUAUACUUGGGCCUUCUCAACAAUGGUUAAGUGUUGCCAAACUAGCUUUACUUAGUGUUGGCAGGACAGGAGCUGUAAUAUAUAGUUCUUUUUGUCUUGGCAAUAAGUCUGGCACUCCUGCCAGAAUCUACUCUAAAGGAAAUGAACCAGAGACAAUAAGUCCAUUCAAAUGCACUAGCGAUUUCUUCCAGCAGGGAUUUUUCAAUUUCUAAGUUGAUACAAAUUUUAAAACCACCUAUUUUAAGUAGGGAGUGGGAGUUUUAUUUUCCAAAAGAAGAUGUUAUAUUUACCAAUGUAUUUCUGACAUCUGUCCGCAACAAGAAAUAUUAUAGUGCCAGGUAAUUGAGAAGGUGUCAGAACAAAACAAACAUAAAACAAACAAAAACAGAGAGAGAUGUAUUCCUUUCAAAAGGAUGUAAACACAAAAUAUAAUUGAUGGGCUUCAUUCAGUCAGCCGUUUAAUUUGCGGUGUUUAAGUACUUACAUAAAAUGACAUUACUGCUGUGCUAUUGUCUCGCUGGUUCCAUGCAUUUUAUUUAUGACCAUGUGUCUUUGUGAGUGAAUAAAAAAAUGUGGAGUUGCUAGCAGCAAACCUUACACAUUUCAAAACCCAAAACCAAGAAAUCCUUGAAGGACCACCUAUAAAAAAAAACUUUGUUAACACAAGGUUCAAUAUUUGCCUGGGUUGGCACAAUCCUACUUGGAGGGGAAAAAGGAGGCGGAUUUUUCUGGCUUUAGGAGGCGGGAUUUCAGGUAAACCACUGUGAAGGUGCCUGUCUACGCCUCUGAAUUCUAGAGCCUAGAGCCCCCUGCUGGCUGAAGGAGGAAGAGACCUGAAUGGACCCGAUGGCCAUCAUUUCAAACUCCUCAUUUUCCCCCCAGGUCAUUCAUUCAUGCAGCAAAUAUUCGUUGAGGCUUGCUCUGUGCCAGGCACUGUUCUAGGCUCUGGGGAUAAUCUGUUCAACAAAACAUACAGGUCUUUGCCUUACUGGAGUUUACACUGCAAAAAAAGAAUUCAAAUGGCCGGACGCGGUGGCUCACACCUGUAAUCCCAACACUUUGGGAGGCCGAGGCGGACGGAUCACCUGGGGUCAGGAGCUCGAGACCAGACUGGCUAGCAUUGCAAAACCCCAUCUCUACUAAAAAUACAAAAAAUUAGCCGGGCGUGAUGGUGCACACCUUUAGUCCCAGCUACACGGGAGGCUGAGGCAGGAGAGUCACUUGAACCCCAGGAGGCAGAGGUUGCAGUAAGCCAAGAUCACGCCAUUGCACCCUGGGCGACACAGCAAGACUUCAUCUCAAAAAAAAAAAGGAAAAGAAAACCAAAUAACCAUAAACUAUAAUGUCACAUAGAAAUUGAUACUAACAGAUAAACUAUGAAUCACAGCACAGCAGGGAGAGGAAGUAAAGAGUGAUGGGAGGAUGAUGUAUUUUUAGACAGAAGAACUGAAUAAAUAAAAUGAAGAAGAGGGAGAAAUUGGUAGGAGGGGCUUCCAGGAAAGGGGCGGAGCGAGUGUGAGAGCUGGGCGGGGGUCAGGGAGUGCACGGAGCAGUUAGCAGUGCAGAAGGCCCCGGUAGCUGAGCGAUGAACCGAAACUUAAAAAUGAGCUGAGCCCAAUGAUGCGGAGCCUUACAUGGUAAGAAUUUUGGAUUUUACAGUAAUCCACGGAGAGGCUUGAACAGAGAAUUAACUAAAUUUGCUUUCCAUUCUAAAUAGACCAUUCUGUGUGCAACAAGAACUAACUGCGAGUGUGAAAUCUGAGAGGCCCAUUUUGGAGGCUACUGCCAUCAUAUUUCAAACAAUUCAAUCAAUGAAUUUCACCAAACUGAAAUUCCUGCUGUUUACAACAAGGUUCAGAGAAGAAUAAAAUAUCUUGGUCUCUGCCCUCAGAGAGCUUUCAAUCAACUUGGGAAAAUAAGAUAGGCACACUUCAAAUUAAACUUACGAGAGACAGUGAAGGAUUGUUCUGGCUUGUACACAAGAGCAAUAAUAAUGAAGAUGAAAAAGGUGGUGUCACCAGCAGCCAAGCACCAGCUUGAGGCAGUUUAGCUUCAUGGUUAAGAGCACAAGCGCUAGAGCCAGGCUGCUGGGGUUCAGAAUUCUGGUGUCAUUUACUAGCUGUGUGACCUCUGGCAUGUGCCUUGGUUUUCUCUGUGCCUCAGUUUUAUGACCUGUAGAAUGGAUCUAAUAAUAGGACCUUCCUUAUAGGGUUGGUAUGAGGAAUAAAUGUGUGUCAAUGUUGUGUAGAAGGUGUUUACAUCAGUGUUAGGUAAUUUACCAAAACUACUCAAAAGGAAGAAAUGUCUCCGAAAUCAUUAUUACUGCAGUAGGUCAGAUGUGGUGUGAUAGUGACUUACAUAUCAGUUGUGGAAACAAAAUAAAAGGGGCAGUAUUUCUGGAAGGUUAACUUAGAAGGUUUGAUGACAACAAGAUGGUAAAUGAAGCAUACAAAGGGGUUCAAGAUGAACAUGAGAUCUCAAGCGUAAUGAUUAGGAAAACAGUAGAAAGGAGAGAAAAAGAGAAUUCAGGAUGGGAAAUUGGUUUGAGAGGCAGGGCAGGUUGGAUUUCAGGCAUACUGAGUUUGAAGUGGACAAGUGAUUAGAAAUGUCAGACUAGGGCUCAGAAGAGAGAUCAAGGGUAUCCUUAUGGAUUGGAACCUCUUCCUUUGGGGGCUAUCUUUGAAGCCAUGGAGAUGACAGAUAACUAAGACAGAAGUGGCUGAAAAAAAAGAGCUCUAAGAAUGAAAUUUAGGAGACAUGACCAUAGUUAUGGAUUAGAAAAGAGGCUGAAGAGGCCGGGCAUGGUGGCUCAUGCCUGUAAUCCCAGCACUUUGGGAGGCCUAGGCAGGCGGGUCACCUAAGGUGAAGAGUUCAAGAUCAGUGUGGCCAACAUGGUGAAACUCCAUCUCUACUAAAAAAAAAAAAAAAAAAAAAAAAAAAAAUACAAAAAUUAGCCGGGUACAGUGGCAGGUGCCUGUAAUCCCAGCUACUAGGGAGGCAGAGGCAGGAGAAUUGCUUGAACCUGGGAAGCGGACAUUGCGGUGAGCCGAGAUCACGCCACUGCACUCCAGCCUGGGCAACAGAGUGAGAUUCUAUCUCAAAAAAAAAAAAAAAGAAAAAGGAAAAGAGGCCAAAGAGAGGAAAGCAUCAGAAAAUCAGGAAGAGACAUGUUAUUUUAGCAAAAAUAUUGAGAAAGAUGGAAAAGCCACUGUCAAACACUACUAAGAGAUAAAGGAUAACUAAGUAUGCCUUUGGAGGAGAUCAUUAAGAAGUCAUUGAUGGGCCAGGCAGGUGGCUCAUGCCUGUAAUCCAUCCCAGCACUUUGCGAGGCCGAGGCGGGUGGAUCACCUGAGGUCAAGAGUUCGAGACCAGCCUGGCCAAUAUGGUGAAAUGCUGUCUCUACUAAAACUAUAAAAAUUAGCAGAGUGUGAUGGUGCCCGCCUAUAAUGCCAACUACUUGGGAGGCUGAGGCAGGAGAAUCUCUUGAACCCGGGAGGCGGAGGUUGCAGUGAGCUGAGGUCAAGUUACUGCACUCCAGCCUGGGUGACAGAGCCAGACUCUGUCUCAAGGAAAAAAAAAAAAAAGUCAUUGAUGGCAUCAAGAAAGAGUUUCUCAAGUGCAGCUUAUCCUAAGGGUCUCUGCUAAAUGUUUGUCAUGAAUGCUGUGCUGUGCCACCCAGAUUUCUCCAUCAGGACCCAAGGUGCUGUCUCCCCGGGGAGGGUUGUAAGCUGACAGCUCCCAGCGGCUCGGCUGAGGAAAGCCAUCUUGCCCAAGGUCGUGCCCGCAUCCUGGGGCAGCCUGCAGCAAUGGCUGGUUGACUUCGGGGUAUAAAAGCCCAGUUUCUUCCCAAAAAGGGACAACUCAAAAGGGCCAUUCCAGGUUUCGAGCCAUGGAGUCAGCUAGGGCUGAGUCACAACACACUGUGACUGCACUGCCGCCAGCCUCCCCUUCCCCACACAGCGUUGACGCCAGUGAGAAGAAAAGACCCCCAGGACACUUUAAGCAGCAAUGCCAAUCUCUGAGUCGGGAUCUGCUUCCCCAGGAACCCAGAGGCCACAAUGUAUUAGAAAAUUCAAUAAAAAUAAAAAUGAUAACAUCAGGGAAGAGUUUUGGCACAAAGAGAUCAAUAUAGCAUUUAACAGGCCAGGUGCAGUGGUUCAUGCUUGUCAUCCUAGCAAUUUGGGAGGCUGAGGCACGUGGAUCACUUGAGUUCAGAAGUUCAAGACCAGCCUGGCCAACAUGGUGAAACCCCCAUCUCUACUAAAUUACAAAAAUUAGCCAGGAGUGGUGGUGCAUGCCUGUAAUCCUAGCUACUUGGGAGACUGAGGCACAAGGAUCACUUGAACCCAGGAGGCAAAGGUUACGGUGAGCUGAGAUCGCCCACUGCACUCCAGCCUGGGCAACAGAGCAACACUGUGGAAAAAAAAAAGAAAGAAAGAAAGAGAGAAAGAGAGAGAGGGAGAGAGGGAGGGAGGGAGGGAGGAAGGGAGGAAGGAGGGAAGGGAGAAAGAAAACACAAAGAAAUAGUAUUUAACAGAUAAAUAAAAAUAGUUCCUUAGAAAUAGAAAUUCUGAAAUUGAAAGGGUCAAAUUGAGGGAAGUGAAUAGGAAUGGGCUUUUCUCCAGGACCCCAAACCUAUCAGACUUGCAAAAAAUGAGAUGGUGCCAUUUACCUUUGGUGAAAAUAGAGUGCUGGGUUUCCUAACCCGAUUGAUGGUGCUGUCACCGUAUAACCUCACAAUCUCUUUUAAUCUCUGCACUCUUGUCACUUUGCUGCCAUCUGGAGAGAGGAUUAAUUUGAUUUGUCCCCCAAGGAGAUUAAUGUAUCUGAUUGGAUUCCAGCACACGGAGGGAUACCAUUCUCUAACCCAUCAGCACUGUCCAUGGCCAGGGUGCAAAAGCCCAUCCCACUUCUCCCAAGAAAGAAGCAGCUCUGAGGAUCCCGAGACACUGUGGAGAUGAUGCUUGCAAAGUUCACUUUCACAUUGCGCUGUCUUUCUAGCCUUCCCAGUGUUGAAAUAUCUCUCCAUACGCCCAGUGGACCUUCCCAUAGCCUAUGGGGGUGGGGCAGGGGAAAUUCACUGCUUAAGAAAAAGAAUGUUCUUUCAUGCAACCAAAUGUACUAUCCAACCCCUCAGAUGCUUGGAAAGGCAGGGAUCAUGCCUGUUUGUUUACCUCUGUACCCCAAGAAACCAGCAAAGUGCCUGAACACACAGAAAGUGCUUGAUUGUUGAAUAAAUGAUCUAAAAACUGGUGCUAGGUGGAUCACGAAUGAAGUAAAAGAAACAAUCAGUAAAUAUAAAUGAUAAAGAUGGCUAGAGACAGUUUGGCUCUGUGUAAAUUAUGACUAAGUUGGAGUCCUCUUCCGGUCACCUCAGUGAAUGUCUCAGUGAUCCAGUUGCCCAUGGUAGAUACUUAAGAAAAGCUCUUUGGACUGAAUUAAACUACAAUAAAACCUCAUUGGUGGAAGCCCAAAUAAAAAAGCAUAUUCAUUGGUGCAAAUACUUCAGAAGAAGGGACAUUAUUCAUUAUUCAGCACAAGGAUAUGAGAGUGACGAGGAAGAGAAAGACAGGGACAAUUUUUAACAAUGAGAAGAAAGGAAUCCAAAGGUGGGGAGUCUAAGGAAAAUGAUCGAUUAUCCACAUUAAUGGAACUAUUCGGUUUAAAGCUUCAAGAAUUGGCCUGAGGGACCACCAUGAAAUUUGCUAUCUCAAUUAAUCCUUGCAAAGUGAAAAUAAUACAUGUUAGCUGUUCUCACCAUUCUAAGGACUUUACAUGUAUCCUCAUUUGAUCCUCUCAAGAACUCUGUGUGUUAAGUUUGCCAGUACUGCCAUCCCCAUUUUACAGAUGAGGAAACUGAGGUCUAGAGAACUUAAGUGACUUGCCCAAGGUGGCACAGCUGGUAAGUGCAGCCAUGGGUCUUCGAACCUGGACAGUCUGACUCCAAGGCCAUGCUCUUAACCUGUUCACUGUAUCACCUCCUGCAAGGACAAACAUUCCACCUUCUUUUCCCCUCUUCAACCCACAGGUGACCAACUUCGGAGUAUGCAUAUCAACCAUCAGCAUCAAUGGUGACCAAGAAAAACAGGCUAACAUUGACCUAUAAGUGUUUACUCUUCCAGAAUAAAAGGGGUCCUUAAAAAUGCAAAAUAUUUUAUGUAAGAUACAAAAUGAUCUGUCAAUAAAACAGGCACUGACUCCAU